Molecule: non-coding RNA, 45 nt
Organism: Rhizobiales bacterium 63-22
Lineage: Bacteria; Pseudomonadati; Pseudomonadota; Alphaproteobacteria; Hyphomicrobiales
Source: Rfam
AGAAGGGCUUCCACACGGCGACGUUUGGGGGCCUUUUUCUUUUGC